CACACACACACGCAGGGACACUGAUAUAUGCUUAGUACACAUUGUUUCCUUGCAGCACAUGGUAUUAGAUCCACGCUACACCCACGCUACGCCCACGACACUGAUUCUAUUUCAAAAUGAGUGAGAAUGACACACGCUUUCUGAAAUGCUUCACUCUCAUCAUAAGUAUUUUCAAAGGCCACAGAAAGUUAUUAGCUGGGUUCUCAAGAGUGUUUCCCCUGUUAAUAAUGUAGAAAUUUUGUUAAUCUGCCGCUAGAAGUAUAAAAACAGCCUUUACCCCUUUCAUUACAGCACGAAACAUUUAGCAGCACCAUAAGCAAUGUGUGAAGUGUUUUAUAAGCGUCUACAGGAAAGUUACCUAUGAAAAAGGAUACAUUUUGCAAUUUCUUCUCAGUUCAAAGGUCGGAUGUGGCUGCAGGACAAGUAAAGACGUCUCAGAGUGACUGGUAAUUAAGGAAAGGUGUACCAAAUGACAGUCAAUGGAUUAAAACGAGCGUAACUUCAACCCGAGCCUUUGAGUGUAGUGGAGGUGCGGCGCAGAAGUUUUUAGAAAAUAUAGUUCGUAGUCCUAUGACGGUCUUUAACUCCUUCAGUACUGGGACACAUUUUUACCUCGAGAUUUGUGUACGAUUAAAUGAUUUUAUCUACAUUAGGAAGGUUCUAUGAAGGUCAGAAGAUUAAUGGCCACAGUCUUCACUAUUCUAAUUUCUCAAGCUGUAUUAAAUCACCAAGUAGUAAGCAGAAUGAAUAUGGAAACGCGUCAUGGUACUGAAGGGGUUAAUAUCUCCAGAUCUCUGUAGUAUUAUUUUUCCAAGCCAUAUAGAUAAUAUAAUCGGGUUCUCAUUAGUGUUUUGUACUCGAUGAUGUAGAAUUCGUAUGAAAAGUAUCACUAGAAUCAUCAGAACACCAUUGAAAGUUGAUAUUCACUACACUACAGUCUGUUUGAAAGUAGAUGAACUGAAACACUGAGACGUUUGAGAAUGAACCCCUAAAACGAAGCACUUGGUCUCGUAUGAUUCACUCUAUUCAUGUAUUAUAAUCUCAUACUAAUAUAUUUAAAAGCGUAGUGGAAGUCAUUGAUAUUUGUAUUUUAUUAUAAUCCUAAACAUCAAUAUUGUAACUUCACUAUAAUUCAUUUCGUAUUUGAUUUUCUUCUCACUUUUCAUGAACUCCCCCCUUGCCAGACCGCCGCUAGAUGGCUCUGCUGCGCCACGCCACGCCACGCCACGCCACAUCACAUCACCCUGCCUGGUCUGCCCUUCCACGUCCCUGCGUCGCCUGGUGUGUACGUGAGGUCAUUCCCCUCACUGGCGUCACUUCGCCCCUACAGCUGCUCAUCUGGACCAAUGGGACGCCAGGAGCAAGGUACAGUCGUGCGUGUAAACAUUGGAGGCAGGUGUGACGAUGAAAGGCAGGUGUGACGAUGAAGGGCAGGUGUGACGAUGAAGGGCAGGUAUGACGAUGAAGGGCAGGUGUGACGAUGAAGGGCAGGUGUGACGAUGAAGGGCAGGUGUGACGAUGAAGGGCAGGUGUGACGAUGAAGGGCAGGUGUGACGACGAAAGUUCCAGAUAUGCAGAUUAAGAGUACAACAAUAAUUCCAAAGUGUUCAGGUAUUCAGACAAAUUGGAGGAGGUGAAACGAAACACAGGUGCAGGGAGGUGGGUUUAUUCCCGACUAGUUUCGCUGAUUCCCUUGAAGAAACAGCAGCGAAACUCA
This 1717-nucleotide long non-coding RNA is filed under the name Portunus trituberculatus (swimming crab). Its description in RNAcentral is "uncharacterized LOC123508595, transcript variant X4". Lineage: Eukaryota; Metazoa; Arthropoda; Malacostraca; Decapoda; Portunidae. The record is from RNAcentral.